Molecule: ribosomal RNA, 445 nt
Filed under: uncultured bacterium
Lineage: Bacteria
Description: bacterial SSU rRNA
Rfam family: Bacterial small subunit ribosomal RNA
Source: RNAcentral
GUGAGGAAUAUUGCGCAAUGGAGGCAACUCUGACGCAGCCAUGCCGCGUGCAGGAAGAAGGCGCUACGCGUUGUAAACUGCUUUUAACCGGGAAGAAACCCCAGGACGUGUCCUGGGUUGACGGUACCGGAGGAAUAAGCACCGGCUAACUUCGUGCCAGCAGCCGCGGUAAUACGAAGGGUGCAAGCGUUAUCCGGAUUCAUUGGGUUUAAAGGGUGCGUAGGCGGAGCGUUAAGUCAGUGGUGAAAUCCUGCAGCUUAACUGUAGACUUGCCAUUGAUACUGGCGCUCUUGAGUGCGCUUGAAGUGGGCGGAAUGUGCCGUGUAGCGGUGAAAUGCUUAGAUAUGGCACAGAACACCAAUUGCGAAGGCAGCUCACUAAGGCGAUACUGACGCUGAGGCACGAAAGCGUGGGGAUCGAACAGGAUUAGAUACCCCGGUAGUCC